Long non-coding RNA from Arvicola amphibius (Eurasian water vole), 6018 nucleotides. RefSeq lists it as uncharacterized. NCBI's taxonomy places the organism in Eukaryota, Metazoa, Chordata, Mammalia, Rodentia, Cricetidae. The transcript is spliced from 3 exons. The record is from RefSeq and is a predicted model, not a curated record.
GGAAGCAGAGAAAAAGAUAUGGCGCAAUAAAAACAAUUUGAAAAAAAUAUUUGUGUUAAGCUUCACCAAUAGGAUAGAUCAAGGGGAGGAUAAAAGAGAAGGCCUUGAAGACAAGGUGAGGAAGUUGGACAUUCCAAAUAAAGACAGAUGAAUUGUUAAGAGGUGUGGACAGGACUUGUACGACACACAGGAUACUCUACAACAACCACAAAAUGAAAAUGAAUUCCCCUCUAAAGGAAUAGCAAACAUUUUAAAUGAAGCCACAGAAGAAAUUUCUUUAAAAAUAGGCAAAAAUGGUACCUAUAUAGAUACUGGAGGCACUUAGAACACAGACAAGACCAGAAAAGAACUUCCUCUUGUUAUGUGAUAAUUAACCCACUACUGAAAACAAAGAUAUAAAAACAGUGGCUAGAGAGAAACAGACAGCCACAUAGCAGAGACAGGCCUAGGCCUAUCAGAGUAACCAGAGACUCUCAACAGAAACUAGAGAAGGCUGCAGUGGUCUGGAAGGCUCUCGGGAUGAUGCAGGAGCAGGGAGGUGCUUGGGAUGAUGCAGUGAUGAGAGCCGCAAGCAUUAUACAAUAAAAGUACAGCUUACAGGUCCAUAUACAAACCCACAGGAGUAUAAUCUGUACAUACAGACAAAUCCACCAGGAACCCCGAUUUGCAGAGCUUUGGGAACACCUGUCUUUUGAAUAGUGGCUGUCAAUUCUGUAGAAAUCUUGUGAAGCCAUGGCUUUUCUCCCUUCCAUAAUGGGAUUCAUCCCGAAAUAUCCCAGCAGCCAAUAAAUCAUUCUUUAAACCUGACUUUUCCUGUACUGAAACUGGAUGACCUUCUCCCACACGGUGGGGCCCUGGGGUGAAAACAUUCACUCAGCCAAACCUUUGUCCUCAUAGUCAAAUCUACAUAAACCUAGUCCCUCACAAUUAUCCUUAUUGACAGGACUUCCAAUAAGAAAGGGACCCCUGCUAACGGACCAUGUAAGGAACCUCAGAAGUCAGGCACUGAGCAGGAGAGACAGCAUAUUUGCCCUUACUGAUAAGCAGAUCUAGACGGCCCUAAAAUCUCCAACAGCCAACUCAGGAAAAUGCAGCCUCUUGACCUUUGCUUUACCCUAACAAGCUAUUACUAUUCUAUACUUACCUUCAUCUUUCAUUUGACACAAAUUAACUGUUCGUCCCUUUACCCCUAAAAAAAAGUACAGGAAAAAAACUUGGGCCACUAAAACAACCCCAGAGAAAGGAAGUCUUUCCCACCUGGGUGCCAGCAGGCAUCCUACCAGGGGUUGGAAGCAGCAGGCUCCAAAAAUAUUCCCUUUAAUUCAGUUAGCAAAAUGCCCAUACAAAUCAAGCACCAUCCCCGCCCAAUGCUGCAGCCUAGGCUGGUUACCAUGGUAACCACAACACUGUGUUCCCAGUUGCCUGGGAAGAAAGAGGAAGUGCUUAGAAAGUACAACAGCACUUCUGCGUUUUCCUCUACAAUUAUUGAUCACAAUAUUCUAGCUUAACUGCUCACACUUAGGAAACGUCGUUAGUACACACAACCCACUUUUUUCUCCUCUUAGAAUUCUGUACUGAUUUUACAGCAUCAUUCUUAACUAAUCCUCCUGGCAUCCACAGGGGAGUUUCACAGCCGUGCCCACUCUGAGACAGGAGUAAGACACCUGGUGCCUACUUUGUCAGUCUUUAUCCAUCUUGUUAGCCCUAAGAAACACAUGCUUGGUACCAUUGCUAUCGUCUAUGAACUGUUAACUAUGUGUAAGUAUAUAUACUGGAAACCUUGUAGAAUUGGGAGGAACAUCGAAAGGAAACAGCAAAGAACAGCAAGGAACAUUGAAAGAGAAACAUCAAGAGAGAUCUUUGGGAGAACAUCAAAAGAGCCCUGGAGAGAACGUUAGGGAGAACAUAGGAAGAAUAAAUGGGGCAUGAUGAAAAGAUUUAUGUGAGCUAAUUUAUUUCGUUUACCCUCAGACCUUUUUAGUCAGCUUUUGCCUGCUAUAGCCAACCUUCUGAAUCCGGAGUUUAGAGAGCUGGCACCCAACAUAAACCUUGAUAAUGCAGAAGCAGGGCGAUACCUGGGAUGAUGUAGGAGCAGGAAGGUACUUGGAACAGUGCCAUCCAAGUUUCAAAAGACAAGAACUGCCAAUACAGACUAUUAUAUCCAGCAAAGCUAUCAGUCAUAAUUGGAAGAAAACUCUCCAUUAAAAAUAUAGGCUGAAGGAAUUUAUGACCACUAAUCCAGGUCUACUGAAGAUACUUGAAAAAAAAUUUACUGAAGAGAAAGACAAAUACAUCCAGGGGAGAAUGAACCAGUCUUGAAUAACAGCUAAGCAAAAGAGGUACAGAAAACACCAAUAACACAAAGCCAAGAUGACAGGAAAUUCUACACACCUUUCCAUGAAGCUAAUAUUCAUGGUUUCAUUUUUGCAGUCAAAAGACAACUGUCUGGGCCUGGGAAGAUGGGGCCCUACGGAUAGAAGUGAGCCACUCCAGCUGGGCCUGUGAAGGACUCAGCCUGCCCCAUAUUUCUCCAUGUUCUCUGUGCUCUCGUAGGAAAUGAGAAGGGAAGGUCUGCUGCUCGCCCCCCCCCCUCCCAUGAGUCCCACCAUGCUCCCCCCUCCAUCCUGGACUGAACAAUAGCUCUAACAAUAGCUGAGGUUACCUUGCUUUCCUGUUGCCUACUACGCUCAUGACAAUGCAACGUAGCUAAUAUACUCGGUAAGCUGUAGUUAGAGCCUCUGCCGCGGCAGCAGCCUCUUUCAGUAGCCUGGAUUCCACAGCAUACAUCCAAGUCUUCCUGAGCCACUGCGUUAACUUCAUCAGUCCCUGCCAUUAGUUCUCAUCCACGGAAUCAGUCCUUCCAGUCAUGUGGGUAAAGAAAGGUUAGUGUGGGCCUUGAGGAACUUUGUUCCCCAGAAUACUUUCUAGUUCCAUGGCCUCGAACACAUUUUUGGUUUUCCUGCCAUGGUUCAUAUAGCCAUAUUUAUCUCUCUUUCUUUGCCCUAAGAAAACCAUCCUUAUCCUGAAAGACGUACCUCAAAUAGUACCUCUCCUACGGUAAGUCAGUCUUGAUUACCCAGUAAAAAUGACCUCUCUCCUUGUGACUUUGCCUAUUUCUAAACAGAAAUGACAGGAGGAGUGGGUUGGGGGGAGGACAGAGGGAAGGUGAGGGGAACAAGGAGGAGAGGAGGGAGGGGAAACUGCAGCCAGGGUGUAAAAUUAAUUAAUUAAGUUUAAAAAAAUACAUGUGCUCUUAUAAGCAAAACCUUAUGGCAGUGCACUAAAGCACACGUCAUUAAAAGUUAUAAAGAAAAAAAACCUCGACAAUUCAAUUAGGAUCACAUACGUUUGUAUUAGAAGAAAACUGCAAAUUAAUAUGCAAUCAAUAGCAUAGCUCGCUGAAUUUUAUUGAGAACAUAACCGCUCAAUACACCGUCCCGGCUGGUCCAGCCACAACCCAUCUGACUUCGUGAGUGGCCUUAGAUGAGAUGGGCUUUGUUUAAUUUCUCUAAAAUAGAUUCAGAUGCCCCACUGUCCAUGAAGCCCUCUGCACACAAACUUCAUGGGAGACUUUAGGAGUGGCCUGAGGGGGGGGUAUUUCUCCUCUACUGAGCAUGCCUGGAGUAGAGAGCUGGGGCAGCAGAAAUGCCUGAAGGGCAAAGCUGUGCCCCUUACAGUUUCAUGUCAAACUGAUCCCAUCGCGUUCUGUUUUCAGGUUAUUUUUCCUUUAAAAGGGGUUUACAAAAUAAUCUCUCUGCAGAUGCUGCUGCUAAAGGUCUGGUUCCCGCAAAACUCAAAGGCAUUUCUCCAGUUAAAAUAAAGUUUACUCCUCAUAAAUUACAUGAAAAGUAAACCGCUUGAAAUUGCUGAACAUCUUGGAUUUUUCUAUUAUUAGGCCACAUCUGAAUAAAAGGCUUAGUUUCUGUGAACUAAUGGAUAACGCAGUAGGAACUGUGAGCCUGCCCCAUCCCUCCCUCUCCCGCCCUGGCUCAGCAGCUGGUAAGGAGCAUAGCUGUGAAGGGCAGCUCCUGCGCCAAGGCACCACAGACUCCAGCUCCCUCCUCAGGCUAUUGUCCUGGAGGAAAAGGAAAGGGAGAAACAGUGAUUUGUCAAGGCACAGCCAUCACACCUCCUGGGUCCUAAGAACUCAACAAGACCGCCACUCCUUUCCUUUUUGAGAACCGUGUUCAUGACUCUGACAUUCUGGGAACUCACAGUCUUAAACACAGCCCUUCAGUUAGUUCUAUGCUUAACCGUUAGUAAGAAAGCAGGGAGAAUGGAAACCAGAUGGGGAACCAAUCAGCAUACUUAGGCAAGAUAAACUAUAGAUGAAUCUAUUCCUAAUGCUGUGACUUACCAGAUUCAAUGUACUUACCCAAGCAUAAGGUUAUUUUGUAGAUGGACUUAUUAUGUGAUAUUUUAUAUGUGGGUUUUUGCCUGCAUGUAACAUGUCUGCACACCAUAUGCAUGCGGUGUCCACAUAGUCCAGAAGAGGGAAUCAGAUCCUGAGUGCGAGUCUCCAUGUGGGUGCUGGGAACUGACUUCUGGAAAGCAGCAGAGCUCCUAACCAUUGAGCCAUCUCUCUAGUAACAGAAGACUUCUGAGACAUAGGGCAGAGCUGCUCUCAAACUGUGCGUUGAGGAGCCCAUAAGGAACCCGAGGCCCUGGGAAGUCAAAACUCCGAGAGACAGGACAAACAAGGAACUUGCCAGAGCAUCCUCUUCGAGGCAUUUGAGACCCUGAAGAUUCUCCUCCAACUUGCUCAGCUCCUGAAGAGCCGAACUGCGAAACCUCUCCAGCUCGUUCAGUCUGCCAAACAUGAAAGCAACAGCCUUCAGUGGGACCAAUUGGGUGUGACACAAUAGCCCCACGAGAACACAUUUACCAGAUAUUUUUAAAACAAGCUGGUACCUUUCUUCUCUUCCCCCUUUUCCAUGUUCAGUGAUCCCUGAUCCCAGAGACUUGAACUCUCCUGAGCCCCUGGCAGCACCCAGAAGGAGCCACGAUGUCAUCCCAGUAAAGGAGAGAUGGUCCCAGGAAGGAGAUGGGAUGCCGUCUCACCCCUUCUACUGUCUGCUUGCUUCCCUCUGUCUGGCCUUGCGCUGCUGUGAGAGCCGUGGUCAGGUAGGUUCCGGCACCCAUUUCCCAAACGUCACCAUUCUGUGUCUCAGCACCGUUUAAAUGGCUCAUCUAUUGGCAUGCUGUCUCUUUUCCUUUAGGCCGGAUGCUCCACAUAAACAGAUCUCCUGCAGCUUUCUGCUUAUUUGGAUGUACAAUAUUAAAAAUCUUUGUUUCAAGGGAACAUUACUAGAAAGUGAUGGAGGUAGGGCCUACUGGGAGGUCUGAGAUCAUUAUGAGCAUCCUCAAAGGUGUCUGAGGUGUGGGACUCUUUUAUUUUUAUUUCCUAACCGUCAGUUGAACAGUUUUCUCUCCUACCCAUUCUUGCCAUGAUACCUUCCUUCCUCUAACACAGGACCCAAGAAACAGAGCCAGUUCAUCACAGAUUGAAUCCUCCAAAACCAUGAGUCAAAAUAUGUGCACACAUGUGCACAUGGGGCCUAGUUUUAUUGCAACAGGGUCUCACUGCACAAUCUCAGCCUGAUCUAAAACUCAUUGCGUAUCCCAGACUGACCCAAAACCAUGGCAAUUCUCCUGCCUCAGCCUCUGAAGUGCUGGAAUUGCAGGCAUGGGCCAUCAUGCCUGGCUACCUCGGGUCUCUGUUAACAAUCAGAAAGUUACCUCAUAGCUGACCCUCACACAGUAAAAGCAUGGAGUGAGCACCUGGAAUUAGCGUUCAGUGUUUGUUAGCUGAGUGCAUAUAUGGCUUGAGGGUAAGGUCCUUAAAAUACAACAGGAACUCCACAAAUCCAGAGUCUUCCACGGCUUUGCCAUUGCAUGUAUACAAGAACUUGGAAAAAGUUGUAAAUUCUCACUCAAGUAAUGCAUUUGAAUUCCAAGAACAUUUCUAUUUCAGCUAAGCGAAUCUCCCCUCCCCUCCCCCCAUCUCAAGCACUCUCU